UACGGAGGGUGCAAGCGUUAAUCGGAAUUACUGGGCGUAAAGCGUGCGCAGGCGGUUUGUUAAGUUCCGUUGUGAAAGCCCCGAGCUCAACUUGGGAAUUGCAGUGGAUACUGGCAGGCUGGAGUACGGUAGAGGGAGGUGGAAUUCCCGGUGUAGCAGUGAAAUGCGUAGAUAUCGGGAGGAACACCAGUGGCGAAGGCGGCCUUCUGGACCAGU
This 216-nucleotide ribosomal RNA is filed under the name uncultured bacterium. RNAcentral describes it as "partial 16S ribosomal RNA". It matches the Rfam family "Bacterial small subunit ribosomal RNA", at positions 524 to 738 of the family's 1533-position model. The record is from RNAcentral.